UACGUAGGUGACCAGCGUUGUCCGGAUUUACUGGGCGUAAAGAGCGCGCAGGCGGUCGUUCAAGUCGAGUGUGAAAGCCCCCGGCUCAACUGGGGAGGGUCACUCGAUACUGAUCGACUUGAAGGCAGGAGAGGGAAGCGGAAUUCCCGGUGUAGUGGUGAAAUGCGCAGAUAUCGGGAGGAACACCAAUGGCGAAGGCAGCUUGCUGGGACGGUACUGACGCUGAGGCGCGAAAGCGUGGGGAGCAAACAGG
RNAcentral lists this ribosomal RNA (253 nucleotides) under uncultured bacterium. Its description in RNAcentral is "partial 16S ribosomal RNA". It matches the Rfam family "Bacterial small subunit ribosomal RNA", at positions 524 to 776 of the family's 1533-position model. The record is from RNAcentral.